GCUGGAACAAGUUCAAAUGGAAUCAUUGAAGAAAGAUGACACUAUGGUCCCAAAAUGGUGGGAGGAAUAAAGAAAAAGCAUUAAUGCUAAAUUUGUGCAAUGAUACAUUAGUCAAAUCCUUGAACUAAAGGCAUAAAAGCAUGGUUUUGGAAACUUGAAACCGGACCGGGAAUUUACUGUUAUAUCGUUCCAAAAUAAGGGGGAGAAUCAGUUGAAUUGUAAAUCGCUUAUAAACUGUGGACCGAUAAAAAAUCAGUUAAACUAAUUUUUAUAUUUUUGGACCAAAUAAAAAACCUAGCCCAAAUCCAUUAAAAUUACUAAAAACCCCAAAUACCCAAUCCAACCCAAAAUAAAAAAUGAAUUAUAAAUAAACUAAAGUUACAAAAAUAACUAUAAAAUGGCUUAGAAAUGAAGGCCAUGGGUAAAUCUGCUUACAUUCUAGAAGUAAAAAUUACUCGAGAUCGUUCUGAAAUGUUAAUGUAAUAGGCCUAUUUUGCCCGGCCUAGGCCCAAUUUAAAAUUAAACUGUCCAAUUUAAAAUUACAAACCUAAAACUAAUGACCCAAAAUUAAAACCCACACCAGCCCAAAUUAACCCUAGCCUACUAAAACAUUUUCCAACAAAAAAAAAAGGAAGAAACCCUAGCCGUUCCCCUUUGACCAAGUCUUCUGCCACCGCCGCUCGGCUCGCCUGUCACCUGCCAUCGCGCGUUUCUCUGACACCACCUGCAAAUCAAGAUCUACACGCAAGCAACAGAGAAAAACAACGAGAAAACGACAAAAACAUAGAAAUAAACAGUUUGUAAUUUGGCUAUAAAGCCUGUCAAUCAUCUUGUUUUUUCUUCUCUUACGAACGCAUACAAGCAAAUCAAUGAAACAAAAACUGAAGUUUGAAAGGUUUUUUGUUAAUUCUUUUCUUUUAUUUUCUGUUUAUUAUUAUAUAUAUUGCGAAUCUAUUUUAAAAUAAACUAAAAGAAGGGAAAUAAAGAAACCUCACCUAAAUCCCCACGGACGUGUCGUCGGAGAGUCUUCUCCGUCGCUGCAAUCGGGUUCGACAGAGGGCUGAGGGUUCUUUUCUUUCGUUCUUAUAGGACGCUGAGGUUUUGGCCUUCAAAAAGGCUUCGAAAAAGGGUUGAAAUACCCAUUUUUGUGCGCCGCCGGCCGCCGGCCACCGAACACAGUGGUGGUGCGGCAGGCAGUGAGAAAUCGAUCGUCGGAAGAAGAUUAGAGGGAGGGAGAGUUGAGAAGGCUGCUUUGUUUUUUUUAAGUUUAGGGUUAAAAUGAGUUUUCUUUUUUAAAAAAAAUUUGAGCCUUUUAUUCAACAUUGAAACGGCGUCGUUUGGGUAAAGGAGAAGAGGUCUGUGCGCCUAAAAUGGGUGAUUUCCGUGGCCAGUCCUUCUCUUUUGCGCUGCUAUUGGAUUAGGCCCCUGUUCUUCUUUUUUAUUUUUUUAAAUCUGGCCCAGGAAUUUUAUGUCAAUUUCAUUCUAAGCUGCAUCUAAACGCUUCAUUUCGGGAUUUGGCUUAUUUUCAUUUCUAAUCCCCCCUCCUUUACGCGCAUUUCACUUUAGUCUCAAUCUAUUUAUCGAUUUAUUAUGAUUUAGACCCGAAAUUCUGUCUUAAUCCCGAUUUAAUCCUUUGCUUAAUUUUAACCCUUUUUAUGAAUCCAUUUUAUUUUAAUAUUAUUUAUUUAUCUAUUAUUACUAGCUUUCACUUUUUUCUAAAAUAUAUGUCGUGCAUACCUACAUUAUUAUAUUGUUAUCUUAUUUUCAUUAUAUUGUAUUCUUUUUUGUUUUCUUUUUUAUUUUAUUUAUUAUAAAUCUUUCAUAAUAUUUAUUUUGAACUGUUUUAUUAUUAUUUAUUUUAAGUUUUUUUAUAUAUGGUAUUUGUUUUAAAUUGUUUUAUCAUAUUAUUUAUUUUGAAAUUUUAUAUACAUUAUUUAUUUUAAACUUUUACGUACUUUAAAUUUAUAUACAUUAUGUAGUUUAAACUAUUUUAUAUAUUAUUUAUUUUAAACCUUUUAUAUUAAUUAUUUUAAACUGUUUUGCAUUGCUUAUUUUAAAUAUUUUUGUGUUAUUUUUUAACUAUUUUAUAUAUUACUUACUUUAAAUUUUUUAUGUAAUAUUUAUUUUAAACUAUUUUUUUAAUACAUGUCAUUUUGAAUUGUUUUAUUUAUAUAUUAAUUACUUCACAUUGUUUUUUUAUUUAUUUAUUUUAAAUUCUUUUUAUAUAUUAUUUUUUGAACUAUUUAUUAUUAUAAAUUCAUAUAAUGUUUAUUCUUAAACUUCCUUUUUAUGUGAAUUAUUUAUUUUCAAAUUUUUAUAUGUUGUUUAUCUUAAACUCUUUAUAUAUUUUUUAUAUACAUUAUUUAUGUUAAACUGUUUUUUAUUUUAUGUAUAUUAUUUAUUUAAUUUUUUUUACAUAUUAUUUAUUUUAGACUUUUUAUUAAUGAUUUUAAAUUGUUUUGUAUUAUUUACUUUAAAUUGCUUUUAUGGUAUUUAUUUUAAACCUUUUAUGUACAUAUUGUUUUAUUUAAAAUUAUCUUAUUAUUUGUUUUAAGCUGUUUUUUUUAUUAUUACUUCAUUUCUAUGUUUAUUAAGGUUGAUGUUAAAAAUGAUGUACGUCAUGUGAAUAUUGCCAUUACUUGUUAUUGAAAUUGUUUAUUUAGCAUCCUCAUAUUGUUGACACUCAUUAACCUUGCAUCUAAUUCGUGUAUUACUAUUCCAUGCUCUAUAAUACGUUUUAUUUUAUUUUAAAUCAUAUCAUGUGUUAAGCUCCAAUAUGUUUAUCAAAUAUGGAUCAUUUUAUUUUGCUCCAAACAAAAUAACGCACGUCGUUUAAAUAUUGUACCUGUUAUUAUUCAAAAAGAAAAAUUUCAAAAUACGACAAUGUUUUGCGUUUUGGAACAUCGAGGUAUUGUGUCCUAACUUACGAUGUUUCGAUUUUCUCGUUGAUCCUAAAUAGCCAAAUAUCCUUUCGAGUUUUAAAAUGCAUGGAAUUUCAAUAAAAAAUCAAAGACAAACUUAUUCUCGAUGGUUCAAAUGUCACAUCCUAACUUACGGGGUGUGGCAUAUCGUUAUCACGAGACGAGUGGACCUUUGAUGUUCCUUCGACUUAAUCCGAGUAUUUUUCUAAACGCAUUAAUAAAAAAGAUCGUAUUUCAAUCCAUUCUCGAUUUUUAACUUUCAACAUUAAGACAUUAACUAAUCAAUUCGGUGCCAAUUUUGGGCGUGACGAGGGUGCUAAUCUUUCAUCGCACGUAAUCGACUCCCGAACCUGUUCUUUCAAGUUUCGUAGACCAAAAACACCUUUUUAGUAAACUAAAAUGUUUUAUUAAAAUAAAGGUGAUCCGAUCACACCUAAUAAAGAUCGGUGGCGACUCCCGCUUUAAUCCUCGCUUUCAAACAAAGUCGAUACCCGCAUUUUUAAAAAAAUGGUUUCGACAGCUUGGCGACUCCGCUGGGGACCAAAAGAGAGUCAAGCCGUAAAUUGAUUAUUUUAUUUUUUUCGUCGAGAUUUGAAAAUUCGGUUUAAAAUAUGAUUCUUUCAUUGCAUAUUCAUCUAUCAUCUUUGUAAUCUUAGUUGAAAUAUAUGCUUUGUCGGUUCGAGUCUGUUAAUAUUUUUACAUAUAUUGUAAUAUCGUUCGAUCUACCCUUUAAGUAGGAGUGAGAAACUAUUCCUUCGUGAGGUCUUCACCUCCAUAUAGGAUAGUGGAUCGCUUUUGGGAUACAUUCGUACCUACGUCUUCGUGAGAUUUCCAUCUCCGUAUAGUAGUAGGGAAAUGUAUUCCCCUGAACCGAACUCGAUCCGUAUGAGCCUAUAAUGGGUGAGGAUCGAGGAAUCUGCCAGUUCAGGUACCCUUACUCUAGAAUCGAACCACAUAUAGAGAGACCUAAGAGCCUACCCUAGGUAGAGCCACGCCAAACCCUAGUGGUCACCCAGAUAGGUGUCCUAUUUUAUUGUUUAUUUCUUCUACACUGACGUAUUUUGUUUUGUUUUGUCUAUGAUUGCAUUGCAUUACAUCAUCAUAGAAAGAAGGUGUUGAUUCACAUUCGAUUGCUAAAUAGAAGAGCUUGUCAUGAAAAAAUAGAUUUCUUGAUAAAGUGGAAUAUAAUACGGCAAUUCGAAUAUGGUCCGAGUAAACAACAAGAUAAGGCUGAUAAUUCAUGAAGGAAUACACGACUUUGCUUCAUCGCCUAAGGAUUCAAGCCAACAAAGAUUAUUCGAGAGCCUUCAUGUCCUAAAGAAACUGACAAGCAUCGCGAGGAUAAGUGAGCAAUGAGUCGCAACCUGGAUCGAGCAAAAAGAAGCUAGUAGAAGCACUCAUUGAAAAGUUCGCCAAAUUUGAUCUUAACCGCUGGAUAUGAAGAAAGGGAUCAGUGUCUUCGCUUGGAAUAUGAGGGCAAGGCUGCAUAUGUAAUCCGUUUUAUGUAAAGGAAUUUGUUUUCUAGAAAAUUUGUUCUAAUGGAAUUGAAUUCAGAAUCAACGCCUUUCUUUCUUUUGCAUUCGUUCCAUGCAUUUGCAUUGCAUUGCAUUGCAUCAUUUGCAUUAAACUUUCACUAAAAGACCCUAAUUAGGUAAAAUUAUUUCAACUAACUUAGGAACCGACAAAAGUCUACUGAACUGAGCAUCGUUACGGUACUUGCGCAAGAAUAAAGCCAUGGACCAAAGAUUGGAGAGAAUAGAGCAAAUGCAAAUACAGAUGCAAGAGCAAUUGACUAAGAUUCAACAAGAUAUGCGGGAACACAUGCUAGAAUUCCAAAGAAAUAUGAUGGGCCAGUUAACCCAGUUAUUAGCUGGAGAACAUAAGAAAAUGAGUGGCCUAGUGGUCAAUAGUAGGAAUGAUAAUAAAGACCUCAUAAGCGUCCUGACCCAACCAGGCACGCAUCCGCAGGGGGUACCCGUUAUUAUUGGACUCCAAUAUCAGACGGAUACCUCGACACUGUUGAACUUCUCGAUGGGUUCAGGUUUUAACUCGAAGGAUGAUCGAGCCAAACUGGUUGUUCUAGCGGAAACAAAGGAAAAGGGAGAGUGGACUCUAAAAACCCUAAAGAAAAAGGAAAAGGAAGCGAAUAGUACGAGUAGGUAUAACAAGGGCCAUUCGGACUGAUUACAGUAAGCCAGCCAAGGAUGGUAACUGCCAACCAUCGGUCUCUCCAAGGCAAGAACCCAAUCGAAGACUGAACUCUGAAAAACCCCAGUUUGCGCCCAUCCCAAUCACGUAUAGGGAGUUGUACCAAGUUUUGUUUGACGCACAUGCUAUAUCCCCUUUUUACGUGGAACCAAUACAGCCUCCAUACCCUAAAUGGUACGAUGUAAGUGGCCAAUGCAAAUACCAUGCGGGAAUCACAGGGCAUUCAAUCGAGAACUGUACCGCUUUUAAUAAGUUAAUCGAAAGAUUCAUCAAAAUGGGUAUUAUAAAAUUCGAUGAUCCCUCUGGCGUAGAAAAUCCGUUACCUAACCUUUCUAUUAAAUGGGUAAAUAUUGUGAGUUCCAUGAUGGAUAGGGGCGUGAGAUCCAAGAAUGCAUCGAGUUCAGGACUCUCGUGCAAAACCUGAUAUUGGGGAAUCUGAAUAUAAAUGACAUAUUCGAAGAAGGAACCGGGGAAUAGACUUUUCCAAGCUUCUACCCUUACGCACUUAGGGUGUUUUGAACAAUGGGACUGUGGAAAAGAUCCUUGUAUUUUUAAAGCUAAUUUAAAGUAAUGUUCAGAACACGCCUAUUGCUCUUAGCUUAGGAGCAAUGAGAGGCCUUUUGUGAAAUAGGCUUAUGUCCAAAAUUUUCAUUUUAAUAAAACUCAUCUUUGCUAUCAUUUUGAGCAAAUAUUCUUUAUUUUUUCCAUUUCAUUUAGAUAAUUAUUCUUAGAUUCUUUCGUUCUUUGUAUUUUAUCUCAAAUAUUCUUUUAUUCUUCAUUCAUGAUCAUACCAUACAAAUAAUCAUCCUUAGAAUUAUUUUUUCUUUGGAAUCUGCCUUCGUACCUACAACAAGUCCCCAGAUAUCAAUGGCAUGAGCAACGCUAUCAUUGACUCCGAGUCUCCUUUUAAGCAAGAUAUGUGUCUAAAGGGGUCUCAGGACCUUGAAGAUGAUAAAGAUUGUAGUCUAUCUCCUGAUUUGUCAAGGAUGGUAAAACAAGAUGAAAAAUAGAUCCUACUAUGCAAAGGGUCAGUGGCAUUGCGAGCCUAAGAAAGAAGUGAAGAUCAAAGCCUAGCUCACCACAAAGACAAAGCGAGACAUCAUUGAGUUAUUUCCAUUUCAAAGAUGUUUUCGCAUGAUCGUAUCAAGAUAUGCCUAAGCUACUAAGACAUGAAGAUGCUAUGGGGUGUUCAAAAAGCACAUGAUAAUGGUUUUUCGAUGGCUAGGCUAAUCAUGAGGUUUGGGUACUGUUGGUCCACCGUGGAAGGGGAUUGCAUCAGUUAUGCCAUAAACGCCGGAUUGAGAAAGACAAGACUUUUGUACCUCCUCCAUUUCUUCACAAAUUUUUACAUGUAGGGCCUAGAUGUUAUAGGGCUGAUCUCAUCAAAAGCUUCUGGCCAACGCCGAUUCAUCCUUGUAGUCGUCGAUUACUUUACUAAGAGGGUGAAGGUAGCUUCAUAUGCCAAUGUUACAAGGUUGACAGUUAUCAAAUUUAAAAAAUAAAAAUAAAAAAAGAGGAAAAGAUAUAAAUUGCCGACAAAGAAUGCCAAAAAAAGAUCAUGUCUAACAAUGCACAACCUCACAAAGAAAAAAUUUUACAGUCAGACGCCAUAUCACAGUGCAGCAAAGGCAGCAAAAAAAUCGUGGAAGAUAACCGAAACUUGUAAAGAUUGGCAUAAGAAGUCACCAUUCACUCUCUAUACUUAUCAAAAGUCGGCCAAGACCUUCGUCGGGGCAAUACAUUUCUCAUUAAUUUAUGAAAUGGAAGCGGUUUUGCCCAUUGAAGUCGAGAUUCCUUUUCUCUGAGUCUUGUCAGAGCCGAAGUUAGAUGAAGCCAAAUAGAUUCAAUUCUGAUGAGAUCAAUUGAAUUUGAUCGAAGAAAUGAGGUUGAAAUCUAUCCACCAUGAGCAAAUGUACCAAAAACAAAUAACAAAAAGGUUUACCUCAAAAGGGAAACCUAGUAUUGAAAAAUGUCUUUCCUAUACAAAAAGGACUUCAAAGGAAAGUGUACACCAAACUGGAAAGGACCUUAUAUGGUAAAAAGGCCUCCUCUAGAAGAGCAUCGAUACUGACCAAGGUGAUGGCAAGAACCUGCAUAAUCUUGUGAAUUCGAAUUCAAUCAAAAAAUACUUCACAAAAAAAAGAGAAAAAGGAGAGGCCGAGGCGAAAACCCGCAAAAGGGCACUUUGGACCAAAAGGGAUUUGAGUUGAAAACCCAAAAAAGGCGGUUCGAAUGUGGAUCAAAGCGGGGCAUACAGUAUUCUUUCUAUAUCUAAAUUAACAAUAAAGAAAUAUGCUACGUCUUGGGGCAUCGACAAAGUACUCCGGAUCCCUUAAACACAGAUUGAGCUCAAAAUGAUCUUCAAGAAGUUGGUACAAAAAAGCUCAAGCUGCGAUAUCUGAGGCACCUAGUUUCCUAUUUUACCCAUUUUGAAUUUUCUUUUUUUGAUUACCUUAUUCUUUUCAAGGUACGCUUCCGAUAAAUUCCCUUUUUAAUUACAUUUGCUAUCAUUGGUUAACUUAUUUGUUUCAAGCUAUGCUCUCAAUUAAUUUUCUUCUUGUCCAUUGUUACAGUCUUUUUCAAGCAUUUCGCAUUGAAAUAACGAUUAGUGGACUAAUAACACUUUCAUAAAAGGAGUUUUGCAUAUUACUUUGAAAGCUUCUAAAUAAUACAAGAACUUGAAACAAGACUAUUAUUUAUAACUCACCAAGCCUAAUGGUUGGAAAUAUUGGAGAAAGAUGAUUAUCUCUUUAGACUUUUUAUUGGUUAAAAAAAAAAGACAAGACAUUUCGUCGGUGAUAUAACCUCGACAAAUAACGAGCAAUGUCAACCCAAGUGUAAAAGGGGACCAUUCUCGGGAAAAGAAAAAUGAUAUUCUGUAUUCAUACAAAUAUCAGACAUAUACAUCUGGUCAUUACACCUAGGGAAUAGUGUAACAAAUCAAAUUGAUUGAAGAUGAUACAAAUCCUAUACCUCUGAAUUGCAGCAGGAUGGAUGGAUGAAACCAAAUGUUAUUCCCCUAAAGAUGUAAUGGGAGGUACAAACCUUAUGUCCCAGAAGGUAUAGUGGAAGGGACUCUGAAAUUACAGCGGGGAAAGCUUGCUGAGUAGAACAUGAUUGUUUCUCUGAGUUUUCUGUCAAGAAUACCAGCCGAAUAAGAGGGCAGCAUAAUACGUCAGCGAUAAAGUCCUGAUGAACUAUGAAUAAUGACACCUUAAGCACCUAAAAAGAAAUCAUUCUCAUGACAAUUCUGCAUUCAUAUCAUUCAUCUAGUUAGGAGCAUUUGACUCAUUCUGAUCAUGGCAUCCUAAUUAUUUGUCAUAAAUGUAGGCCUAUGAAACCAAUUCUACAGAUCAUGUCCCUAGAGAAUGGUGUAGCAAUAUUGUUGAGUUCACAGAUCUUGUCGCCCUGAAGUUGCUGUGGAACAGAUCAAAGACGGCAAAUCUUGUCUCCCUAACCAGUAGUGGAACAGAUUUAAGUCACCAUCCUAUCUCUCUAAAGCAGUACUAGAGUAGGCUGAAUAUUACAGAUCUUAUCUCCCUAAGCAGUUGUGGAGCAGAUCGAAGAUGGCGAAUCUUGUCUCCCUAACCAAUAGUGGAGCAGAUUUAAGCCACCAUCCUAUCUCCCUAAGCAGUAGUGGAGUAGGUUGAAAUCAACAAUUUGUUUCUCCUUGAAGUUCCAGCAGAGUAGAUCGAAGCUACAAAUCUCUUCUCCCUGAAAUGGCAUUGGAGCGUCUCGAAGCCACAAUUUUUAUCUCCUUGAAGUUUCAGCGGAGUAGAUUGAAGCUACAAAUCUCUUCUCCCUGAAAUUACAAUGGAACAGAUUGAAGGUAUAAAUAACAGAUCUUAUCUCUCUGAAGUUGCAGUAGAGCAGAUCAUAGUAAACCUUAUCUCCCUGAAGUUGCAGUGGAGUGGGUUGAAGUUACAAGUCUUGUCUCCCUAAAGUUGCAAUGGAGCAGACUGAAGAUAGCGAAUCUUAUCUCAUUGAAGUUGCAGUGGAGCAGAUUGAAGCUACAAAUCACAAAUCUUAUCUCCCUGAAGUUGCAGUGGAGUAAACUGAAGAUAGCAAAUCUUAUCUCCCUGAAGUUACAGUAGGGCAGAUUGAAGCUACAAACCACAAACCUUAUCUUCCUAAAGUUGCAGUAGAGCAGGUUGAAGUUACAAAUCUUAUCUCUCUGAAUUUACAGUGGAGCAGACUGAAGAUAGUGAAUCUUAUCUCCCUAAAGUUGCAGUGGGGCAGAUUGAAGCUACAAACCACAAACCUUAUCCCCCUGAAGUUACAGUGGAGCAGGUUGAAGUUACAAGUCUUAUCUCCUAGAAUUUGCAGUGGAGCAGACUGAAAAUAGUGAAUCUUAUCUCCCCGAAGUUGCAGUGGAAUGGACUGAAGCAACAAUUCCUAUACCCCUGAGGAUACAGUGGAUUGGAAUGAGGUUACUUGAAGAAGAAGAAAGGAAGCGCUGAGACUCAGUAGAUCUAGGCAAAAUUGGCUAUUUUAUAGUCUUUACUUUAUUCCCGUUGCACGGCAAUAAGCAAAGAGGGGCAGCUGUAAUAAGCCUAUUUUGCCCAGCCCGGGCCCAAUUUAAAAUUAAACUGUCCAGUUUAAAAUUACAAACCCAAAACCAAAAUUACAAACCCAAAACUAAUGAUCCAAAAUUAAAACCCACACCAGCCCAAAUUAACCCUAGCCCACUAAAACAUUUUCCAGCAAAAAAAGAAGGGAAGAAACCCUAAUCGUUCCCCCUUUGACCAGCGCCUCUGCCACCACCGCUCGGCUCGCCUGUCACCUGCCAUCGCGCGUUUCUCUGACACCACCUGCAAAUCAAGAUCUACACGCAAGAAACAGAGAAAAACAACGAGAAAACGACAAAAACAUAGAAAUAAACAG
RNAcentral lists this long non-coding RNA (10013 nucleotides) under Gossypium barbadense (sea-island cotton). RNAcentral's name for it is "long non-coding RNA (GBAR_LNC012866)". Lineage: Eukaryota; Viridiplantae; Streptophyta; Magnoliopsida; Malvales; Malvaceae. The record is from RNAcentral.